Molecule: ribosomal RNA, 462 nt
Filed under: uncultured bacterium
Lineage: Bacteria
Description: bacterial SSU rRNA
Rfam family: Bacterial small subunit ribosomal RNA
Source: RNAcentral
AACGAACGCUGGCGGCAGGCCUAACACAUGCAAGUCGAGCGAGAAACCAUCUUCGGGUGGCGGACAGCGGCGGACGGGUGAGUAAUGCGUGGGAAUAUGCCCUUUGGUACGGAAUAGCCCCUGGAAACGGGGAGUAAUACCGUAUGUGCCCUACGGGGGAAAGAUUUAUCGCCAAAGGAUUAGCCCACGUUGGAUUAGCUAGUUGGUGAGGUAAGAGCUCACCAAGGCAACGAUCUAUAGCUGGUUUGAGAGGAUGAUCAGCCACACUGGGACUGAGACACGGCCCAGACUCCUACGGGAGGCAGCAGUGGGGAAUAUUAGACAAUGGGCGAAAGCCUGAUCUAGCCAUGCCGCGUGAGUGAAGAAGGCCCUAGGGUUGUAAAGCUCUUUCAGAUGUGAGGAUGAUGACAGUAGCAUCAGAAGAAGCCCCGGCUAACUUCGUGCCAGCCGCCGCCGUAACAC